Molecule: ribosomal RNA, 296 nt
Filed under: uncultured bacterium
Lineage: Bacteria
Description: partial 16S ribosomal RNA
Rfam family: Bacterial small subunit ribosomal RNA
Source: RNAcentral
GGUGAACGCUAGCGGUGCGCCUAACACAUGCAAGUCGAGCGGGAAGCUUUUCUAGCUUGCUAGAAAAGUAGAAAGCGGCGAACGGGUGAGUAACACGUUGGAAUCUGCCCCCAAGUCAGGGAUAGCCAUUGGAAACGAUGAUUAAUACCGGAUGUGCUCUUCGGAGUAAAGAUUUAUCGCUUGGGGAGGAUCCUGCGUACUAUCAGCUAGUUGGUGAGGUAAUAGCUCACCAAGGCUAUGACGGUUAACUGGUCUGAGAGGAUGAUCAGUCACAAUGAAACUGAGACACGGUUCAU